UACAGAGGAGCCAAGCGUUGUCCGGAUUGACUGGGCGUAAAGCGCACGCAGGCGGUUGCGCGCGUGGGGUGUGAAAUCUGGCCGCUUAACGGCCAGGCGCCAUCCCAUACGGCGCGACUGGAGUGAUGCAGAGGUCGAUGGAAUUGCCGGUGUAGUGGUGAAAUGCGUAGAGAUCCCCAAGAACACCAGUUGCGAAGGCGGCUGACUGGACAGCAUAUUGACGCUGAGGCUCGAAGGCGUGGGGAGCGAACGGG
This 254-nucleotide ribosomal RNA is filed under the name uncultured bacterium. RNAcentral describes it as "partial 16S ribosomal RNA". It matches the Rfam family "Bacterial small subunit ribosomal RNA", at positions 524 to 776 of the family's 1533-position model. The record is from RNAcentral.